This is a long non-coding RNA of Phyllopteryx taeniolatus (common seadragon), 225 nucleotides long. RefSeq lists it as uncharacterized. The transcript has 3 exons. NCBI's taxonomy places the organism in Eukaryota, Metazoa, Chordata, Actinopteri, Syngnathiformes, Syngnathidae. The record is from RefSeq and is a predicted model, not a curated record.
AUAAUAGUGAAUGGGGGAGUGCCGACUGUCUACCUACACAGGCUUCCUCCUACCGUCCCGCUGUUGUGAGGUGCUGUUUUCGGCUGUGACAUGUCACCGACAAGGGAGGCUUUUAGAAAAGACAAAAACAACAUGAAAAAAAACAUGGUGCUCCUCGCAAGAUUUAUGACAGAGGAGUGCAGGAGUGCAAAGAAUAAUCAAGAGCCAAGGACCACUUGUGGAGAG